This 507-nucleotide ribosomal RNA is filed under the name uncultured bacterium. Its description in RNAcentral is "bacterial SSU rRNA". It matches the Rfam family "Bacterial small subunit ribosomal RNA", at positions 8 to 526 of the family's 1533-position model. The record is from RNAcentral.
AGAGUUUGAUCAUGGCUCAGGACGAACGCUGGCGGCGCGCUUAACACAUGCAAGUCGAGCGAGAACCAGGGCUUCGGCCCCGGGGACAGCGGCGAACGGGUGAGUAACACGUGGGUAAUCUGCCCUCGGUACUGGGAUAGCCCGGGGAAACCCGGAUUAAUACUGGAUGGCCCUUCGAGUUUUCGAAUUCGAAGGAAAAGGUAGCUUCGGCCUCCGACCGAGGAUGAGCCCGCGGCGGAUUAGCUUGUUGGUGGGGUAACGGCCUACCAAGGCGACGAUCCGUAGCUGGUCUGAGAGGAUGAUCAGCCACAUUGGGACUGAGACACGGCCCAAACUCCUACGGGAGGCAGCAGUGGGGAAUAUUGGACAAUGGGCGCAAGCCUGAUCCAGCCAUGCCGCGUGAGUGAUGAAGGCCUUAGGGUUGUAAAGCUCUUUCACCGGUGAAGAUAAUGACGGUAACCGGAGAAGAAGCCCCGGCUAACUUCGUGCCAGCAGCCGCGGUAAUAC